This is an RNA transcript of Scylla paramamosain (green mud crab), 2432 nucleotides long. RefSeq lists it as uncharacterized. NCBI's taxonomy places the organism in Eukaryota, Metazoa, Arthropoda, Malacostraca, Decapoda, Portunidae. The transcript is spliced from 7 exons. The record is from RefSeq and is a predicted model, not a curated record.
GGGGUCUCAUGGGGACUAUUUUCAAAGCCUACAGAAAGCAUGUCUGCUUUCCACGAGUGUUUUUCAUCAGAUCGUCGUCAAACUAUUGCUAGAAUAAUACAUUAGCUCGCUCUUGAAAUCCCAAAAUAACAUCCACUAUAGCGUGUUGAAGGAGUAACAGAGAUGAGACUUGCGGCUGACCAUUUCAUUAAGCCUGGGAAGUCAUAGCAACUGAAAGGUUUAAGUGCAAGCAGUGGGUGGAAAUAUAAGAUGGGAAGAUACGGACAGAAGACAGACUAGUGCUGGUGCUGGCAAGCUUUUUUUCCUUUGCUUAUUUCAUAGAGAUAGAUAGUUAUUGUGCUGCUGGAAACAUAAUGAUUUGUAAUGAGAUAUAAAAAAAAUGAUGGACUGAUAUGGACUGAUGCACAAAAGAACACGAAGAAAGAUAUAUUAAGAAUCUACAUAAGUUUAUUUCUAAUUCUUCGUGUGUGUGUGUGUGUGUGUGUGUGUGUGUGUGCCCUUACAUACAUUACAUCUUUGCAGUCACUUCAGAAAAGAUAACACUUGGUUAUUUAUUCCAGCUCAGACAGUGGCAGACUAUCACACGAGAACGAAAUACGAGACAAUAUACUCUUCAUCCACCAUCUUUUUUUCACCCUUCCUCUUGAUAAGGACACAGUGAAGGCGCAUCCAGGCUAGGCGAGCAUCAUGGCACUGGGUCAAGGCUCUCGCAAGAUCGGGGACCCCUGCUGGAGUCACAUACAGUGCAGAAGAUCCGAUGAGAACUCCUUCUGCGCCUUCCUCGUAUGCAAGUGUAAAACAGAUUUCCAUGUCAUUAACGGGAACUGCUCAAGAAACUACUGGGAGGAUCUCGGACUGCAGAACUGGCAGCUGCUGGUGAUCGCCCUCAUCAGCACCCUGUUCUUCCUGUCGGUGUUCAUUGGCUGCAUAUACUACGUCAUCCUUACGAUCAUCAGGAGGCUCAGAAAAACGCGGCCGUCAGGAGACCCGGUGCCCACUGAGAGCUUCGUGGAUAAAGGCGCCAGUGAGAAGCGAAGGAGCCUGGCAGGGGAAGGAGUGCUCGGCGUCAAACAGGCGAAGAAACACUCCUUCAAGAGAAAGUCACAGAGGUUGGAGAGAACAAGGGCACAACUGAGGCGUGAGAUGAACGUGCUGAGGGACAAGGAGGAGGAAGAGGGGGAGGAGGGGAGGAGAGGCGUGUCAGUGGUGGUGGAGGAGAGGAAGAGAGGCACGUCAACAGUGGUGGAGGAGGGGAGGAGAGGCACGUCAACGGUGGAGGAGGAGAGGAGAAGGGGCACGUCAAUGGUGGUUGAUGAGAGGAAGAGAGGCACGUCGAUGCUGGUGGAGACGGAUGACGACGAGGUUCCUUCCACUUCCAUCAGACCGUUGACAAAGUUUAUCCUGCCCCUGCACUACAGCAAUGGCCACGGUUACGAAGACGGAGCGGGUGGCCAGCGGCACAACCUGAGGCGUACAGGUAGCUUCGGAUCGUGGUCCCUCUCGUCGUGGGAGAUGGAGCCCCUCGAGGCGGGCCUGGACUGGUGGCCUGCCAGGCGACAGUUUCGUCGACCCGCUCACCAAGGGCAGUGUGUCUUAACCACAAUGGAAGGAGCUUGAAGUUGGUAAGGAUGGAAUCGAGUCACGUCCUGCAAUACUGGAAGGCGGGCUAGGGCCUGGGGCGGUGGGCGGCGGGCGGCGGGCAGUGGAUGCAGCCCGGCAAUUGCAUCCUCGUUACGGCAGCUGCAGAGAGUCAACCAAGACAAUACGACCACUGCUGCUCGACAGUGCCGCCUCGGACAGUGAAGAGGACGAGUGAUGGCUUCACUUGAAUACAAAAGAUCACAAUUUAUAAUGCCGCGUGAAUGGAAGAGACGACACAUGGAGUUUGUGAAGUUCUCCAGAAUGUUUGAACGACUCUAAUAAUAGUUAAAAAUAAAAAUGAUUGUUUCAAAAAGAAAACACUCUAUAACAACCUGGCUUACCUCCGUGGUCUUUUGAAAGUAGUCCUCAUGAUUCUAUGCAGUAAUAGUUUAACACGAACUCUGAGCUAUCACGAGGAAAAACAACCAUGAGCACCUGACCAGGGAUGGGGUGAAUACAAGAACUGUGUAUUCGAAUACGAAUACGAAUACUUUAUAUUUAUACAAAUACGAAUACGAAUACACUGAAAUACUGAUAAUUUGAAUACAAAUACGAAUACCCCAUGAGAGUAAUCGUGAAUACAUUCAUGAAUACUUUUCGUUGAAAGUAACUUUUUCAUGUAGGCAGCUCGGCAAUGAGGCUAAUAUGGUACUAAAGUUAUUCAAUAGUAAAAUGACGUCAUGAGCUUAUAACUGAUGCCAGUAUUCUGUACAUGUUUAUCACACCUACACAUAUUUGUUUUCUAAAAUUUUCAAGUAUAUAUCUAACCUGUACUGAAAGAAACACAACAA